Molecule: ribosomal RNA, 498 nt
Filed under: uncultured bacterium
Lineage: Bacteria
Description: bacterial SSU rRNA
Rfam family: Bacterial small subunit ribosomal RNA
Source: RNAcentral
CGAACGCUGGCGGCGUGCUUAACACAUGCAAGUCGAACGAGAAAGUUUUCUUCGGAAAACGAGUAGAGUGGCGCACGGGUGAGUAACGCGUAGGUAAUCUACCCUAAUAUUUGGGAUAACAUUGGGAAACUGGUGCUAAUACCAGAUACCCUUCUUUUCUGUCGGGUUAAGGAGGAAAGGUGGCCUCUUCAUGAAAGCUACCGUAUAAGGAUGAGCCUGCGUACCAUUAGCUAGUAGGUGGGGUAAUGGCCCACCUAGGCAACGAUGGUUAGCGGGUCUGAGAGGAUGAUCCGCCACACUGGAACUGGAACACGGACCAGACUCCUACGGGAGGCAGCAGUGAGGAAUAUUGCGCAAUGGGGGAAACCCUGACGCAGCGACGCCGCGUGAGUGAGGAAGGUUUUCGGAUCGUAAAGCUCUGUCAGAAGGGAAGAAGUGUUAUACAGUUAAUACCUGUAUAAUUUGACGGUACCUUCAGAGGAAGCACCGGCUAACUCC